This 219-nucleotide unclassified non-coding RNA is filed under the name Hevea brasiliensis (rubber tree). Lineage: Eukaryota; Viridiplantae; Streptophyta; Magnoliopsida; Malpighiales; Euphorbiaceae. The record is from RNAcentral.
GAAAAAGUUUAGGUUAACGGCAAGUAUUUGCGUAAUAGCAUGAUAGUAAGUAUCAACAACUUCUUCUUCUUUCUUCUUCAACUUCUUGUGAGAGAGAGAAAAAUCUGGCCUUGCGUGUAGAAAAUAAAGAGGUGCUUCUCCAAUAUAGUAUUUAUCUUUUCUGUGUGAAAUAGAAAUAGCUUAGUUUGUUGUGAACGGAGGGAAGAAAGGUGAAGAACU